GUUGAUCCUGCCAGUAUUAUAUGCUGAUGUUAAAGAUUAAGCCAUGCAUGUGUAAGUUUAAAGACCAAGUAGGAUGAAACUGCGGACGGCUCAUUAUAACAGUAAUAGUUUCUUUGGUUAGUACGUACAAGGAUAACUUUGUGAAUGAUAAAGCUAAUACUUGAGACGUUCGGCGGAGUAUUAUACUUCGCUGCCGCUCUACGCAAGUGGAGCGAGAAAUGACAUUCUUCUGUGAGAAAGGAUACCACGACAAUUGCAGAAAGCAACGCUUUUUACAAGUAACCAAUGGGAAUUUCUGAUCUAUCAUAUUUGUUGGUAGUAUCGAGGACUACCAAGAUUAUAACGGAUAACGAGGAAUUGGGGUUCGACAUCGGAGAGGGAGCUUUACAGAUGGCUACCACUUCUAAGGAAGGCAGCAGGCGCGUAAAUUACCCACUUUCGACCCGAAGAGGUAGUGACGACAAAUAACUCUUGGCGCCCCUCGGGGUGACUUGAAGGAAUGAUUUAGAAGUAAAUUCUCUAAAGAAAUCAAUUGGAGGGCAAGUCUGGUGCCAGCAGCCGCGGUAAUUCCAGCUCCAAUAGUG
Molecule: ribosomal RNA, 584 nt
Filed under: Entamoeba sp.
Lineage: Eukaryota; Evosea; Mastigamoebida; Endamoebidae
Description: SSU rRNA
Rfam family: Eukaryotic small subunit ribosomal RNA
Source: RNAcentral